This 138-nucleotide unclassified non-coding RNA is filed under the name uncultured Cenococcum. RNAcentral describes it as "sequence contains ITS2". The record is from RNAcentral. Lineage: Eukaryota; Fungi; Ascomycota; Dothideomycetes; Gloniales; Gloniaceae.
UUCACCACUCAAGCCUAGCUUAGUGUUGGGCUUUGGGAUGCGCCUCGAAACGCUCGGCGGCGUGGCACCGGCUUUAAGCGUAGCAGAAUCUUUCGCUUUAAAGGUCGGGGCCCCGUCUGCCGGAAGACCUACUUAUAA